AUGAUCGUGUCCUUAUGGAUGGCAUACAUUGCAGCUCGUAAACGCCAAACAGACACAGAUGGCGUACCAGGUGAAGAACAGUUCUCGUGGUUAUUCAGGAUGCUGGAUACGUGGUCCGGGCUGUGGCCAGGGCAGAGGGCAUUACCACCGGCAGAGCCUAGGGCAGAUCAGCAGGCAAAACCUCCAGCAGAUCAGCAGGCAGAGCCUCAGGCAGAUCAGCAGGCAGAGCCCCAGGCAGAUGAGCAGGCAGAGCCUCCAGCAGAUCAGCAGGCAGAGCCUCCAGCAGAUCAGCAAGCAGAGCCUGGGGCAGAUGAGCAGGCAGAGCCUCCAGCAGAUCAGCAGGCAGAGCCUCCAGCAGAAGAGCCUCCAGCAGAUGAGCAGGCAGAGCCUGGGGCAGAUGAGCAGGCAGAGCCUCCAGCAGAUCAGGCAGAGCCCCAGGCAGAUCAGCAGGCAGAGCCCCAGGCAGAUCAGCAGGCAGAGCCUCCAGCAGAUGAGCAGGCAGAGCCUCCAGCAGAUGAGCAGGCAGAACCUCCAGCAGAUCAGCAAGCAGAGCCUCCAGCAGAUCAGCAAGCAGAGCCUCCAGCAGAUCAGCAAGCAGAGCCUCCAGCAGAUCAGCAGGCAAUGCCAAAAGCAGAGAGUACACCAGCUCCUCCAGACCUCCCACGUCCCAUCAGUCCAAGCCCACAGGAAGGGGCCAAUUUGGAGGUGCAGGUGUCUCAGCAGGUGGUCCUGAAGGAUGGGUUUCACGUCUUGUCCAUCAGCAAGUCCUGUUGUGUGCAUCAGAUCUCGAAUGUGCAGGAGGAUGGAGAGACAGUGACAAGGCCGGGGCAAACAGAAAAUGAGAUGCGCUGGAUGGUGCUCCAGGACAUGCCUGACCUCAAAAUUGAUACCACGGUGGAUGCUGCAACAAGAAACAUGAUGAUCACCACGACAGACACCGACAACUUAUCUGAAUGCCCUACCAACAACUAGGAG
This 975-nucleotide long non-coding RNA is filed under the name Coturnix japonica (Japanese quail). RNAcentral describes it as "lncRNA (ENSCJPG00005006595.1)". Lineage: Eukaryota; Metazoa; Chordata; Aves; Galliformes; Phasianidae. The record is from RNAcentral.